Molecule: long non-coding RNA, 594 nt
Organism: Bufo bufo (common toad)
Lineage: Eukaryota; Metazoa; Chordata; Amphibia; Anura; Bufonidae
Exons: 3
Source: RefSeq, a predicted model, not a curated record
UGCAAGAUUAAUGCUCUGCUGUGAACACUUCAUCCACAAAAUGGGUUAUGGGAUCAAAUUGAAAGCAAUCAAUAGCGGCAAUAACAUUUACUACCCUCCCGGCUGAUGAGAAGUGACAUCUUUUACUCGACGGGAUGUGUCAUCCUUGCAGGAGGGCAAUUCCAGUAAAAGAACUAUAGGAGCUGUUCAAAAACUCCCCUAUUUGGGCUGGGGUCCGUGAAAGCUCAGCCUGAUCUUCCUGGUUACAGAUGCACAAGGAAGGCAAUGAGAGGAGAAUGUGGACGACAACCGGGACGCGCAACAGAAGGAAAUGUCGACUGGGCGGAAGGAAGCACCAUAGGCCCCAGAAGAAAUCUAUCUCCACCGAUAUUUCCAGGGUACAACAAAGAGGCCCAGGGGAAAUCGACCAGAUGCAAUCAGAAGAGAUAGAGUGCCUGGUUGUCAACAUCUCCUCUACGGAACUAACUGUCGAUCAGAUUAGGGUAUUGGGACGUGGACUGUCCUUCUGCCCUGUGGUGGACACAAAUUAGUUUGAUGUUGAGCUAUAUUUACAAGGUUUUUUCAGGAGACUGAGAUUAAAACGUUUUUUCUCCA